UAAAAUUUUUUUGACAUAAAGGUUUGCAACUGUUGACAUUUCAGAAUAUUGGUAUAUACAAAGUCAAACCUAUGAGUAAAAAUGCUCAUAGUCAUGUAUGUGCAAAUGGGUGCAUACAGUUUGAAUUUGUUGAAAUUAAAAUUUUUAACCAUUAAAAAACAAAAUAAACAUAAACUGACUUAAAUAUGCUUCCAAAUUCAAAGUAGUAAUAAUAAAAGAGAUAGUAAUAUUGUUCUAAUCUACUUACAUGCCGUUACAAGGAUUGCGUUGCAACUUAGUUGUUGUCAUAUUAGUACGUCCAAAUUAUGCUAAUUGGUUUGUUGGGAUAGUGAUAGGGUAAACAGACAUGUUACGUAGGUUAAAACACAGUAAGAUUUCGAAUUUGGAAUGGAUCCUGAAGGAAGAUGCGUAUGUGAAACGGGUGAUGUUUUGUUAGAAUGGAGAAAGACAAUGCUCCAGGAGUUGCGUAUUAAUUGUAGCAAAGUAUGAAAUGUUAUUCUAGGCUCUUGUACAAAUGUGAUGGUCUUAGCUCGUAGAUGUUAUACGAUGCGGGCAGAGGUCAAAGCAUAGGAAAUGACAAAUAGGAAAAUGUUGUCAUAAAUUAAUCUAAUUUAAGAUAUGUUGUUCUCAGUAAGUUAACUGAGGGAUGUCAUAAGUAUAAUAAUAUCAUAAUAUUAUGAAGUAGUAAGUGCCAUACACUGUGAAACUAUGAAGUGUAUAGAAAUUAAAGGAAAGCUAGUUAGUUAAAUGAAAAAAUAUUAAUAUCAAAACAUCGGUUAAGAAACUUUAAAUUGAAAAAUUGAAAAAGGUAAGAAAUUGAUAAAAUUAAAGAUUAUUUUGUUUGAGCUAUUGUAUAAUGGGAUAUGUACAAAGAAAAAGAAAGAAACGAAAUAUUAAUGGAAGGGUGUAGGCACUUACUUGAGAAUAGUUUUUAACUAAAUAAAUAAAUUAACACAUAACACAUAGGGUUUAAAAGCACAAAGACAUAACAAUUAUUGGUAAAAGGUUUUUUUUAAGGGAGGUAGCACUACAUUUCCCCAAUUACUAUUUAACUUAGUUUUUACUUCCUAAAUUGAAGUCUAGUUUUUGUGUUUUCAAGAGGGAAUAUUGACAGUGUAGGCAGAUGUAGGUUAUCUGAAAUGUCAAAACACUUCUUCUCAAAUGUUGUACAGUAGUUGCCUAUUUUAAUUAAAUCUCUUAGUAACAUAAAGUAUACAGCAUUUUCAAAUUUUACAAAAAAGAUAGUUGUUAAUUUAUAGCAUUAAUAACAAAAUCUAAACUAUAUGUGUAACCACUAUUGUGAAAAAACUGUUGUAACAAUAAUAAAAAUACAUGAUUAAUUAUUCUACAUUAGUAUUCAAGUAGAGAAGAAUUAAAGUAGAGAAGAAGUGUUGAGUUUAAGUUUAAGUAGGCAGUGCAUAAUCUAACGUACAAGCAUAUCACCUGUUGCAUAAUUGUAGAUGAGUAAGAUAAAUUGAUUAGCCUAGUCUAUUUAAAUUUAGUAAAUGAAAACAGAUAUAAAACUUGAAAGUUAUAACGAAGAAAAAGAAAAGAAAGUUGGUUGGUAGUAUUGUUAAUAUUGUAGUCGUGGCAAUGCCACGUCAACGAGGUCAAAGGAAGCGGAAUGUUUAAUGACAGGUGUGUGGAGGGAGGUAGGGGGGGUGUUAAUUUAAAAGAGAACCUAAAGUUUGUUUAAAUCCUAUUUGUAUUUAAGUAUUGGUGCCAACCAACUUCCUCAUGCGCCAUAAAUGGUAAGUUAUAAAUUUAAAGUAUUUAAUAGAUUAAAAGGUUUUGAUAACUUGUACAAAAUAAUCAUGCACUUCCAUAGCGGAACCUAUUAAAUUUAUAAAGCUAUAAUAUAAAAUGUGUAGUCUUAGUGAAUUCAAAAUAAUUUAGGGUGACAUUUUUAAAUUGAGAAACACGUGUUUAAUGUUUAAGAAUAUUGCACUGAUCAAACUCCGUAUUAAAUGUUCAAACGGUCAGGCACCUAUGGGAUAUUAACAGAAUGAGCUCAAAUGCCAUACCAGCAAAUUUUCUGACAUUUUAAAAAAGUUGUAGGUUACCAUUUUUAUAUCACCACGUGGAAAAGUGCAGAUGGUAAUUGAUUGUCCAGUAAUGAAGCUAAGAUGGGAAAAUUGGCUGUGUACUGAGCUACAAAAUCAUCAAAUUCAACAGGAAACGAACAAUGGAAAAUGGAUUUGAAUAAAAUUAAAAUUAGCGGGAUUUUGGAAAUUAAGAGUUAUUCAGGACGUGGCCCUUUUUGCAGAUGUGAAGAAUUUUGAAAUCAAUGUCCGGAUUGAAAUUAUGGUUGGAGUUACGGAUAUGUUGGGAAAAAUGAGACUGUCCAGAUGUUGGGCGCUGUAUGUAUCUAAGAUGUUCCUUCAAUCUGGUGUCGAACGAUCUAAAGGUUCUUCCGACGUAAUAUGACGAGCAGCAUUUAACUACUUGUAACGCCG
This 2456-nucleotide long non-coding RNA is filed under the name Diabrotica virgifera virgifera (western corn rootworm). Its description in RNAcentral is "uncharacterized LOC126880191". Lineage: Eukaryota; Metazoa; Arthropoda; Insecta; Coleoptera; Chrysomelidae. The record is from RNAcentral.